UUUCCGUAGGUGAACCUGCGGAAGGAUCAUUAACGAGUUAGGGUCUUCUAGGCCCGACCUCCCAACCCUUUGUUUACUGAACCAUUGUUGCCUCGGUGGGUCCGUCUUACGACCGCCGGGGGAUCGCCGCGAGGCGCCCACUGGCCAGCGCCCACCGAUAGCCCAACCUUUAAGGCCCUUUGUGAAUCGUGUCUUAUGUCUAAAUUUAUGAUUAAACAAUCAAAACAAAACUUUCAACAACGGAUCUCUUGGUUCUG
RNAcentral lists this unclassified non-coding RNA (257 nucleotides) under plant metagenome. RNAcentral describes it as "partial contains small subunit ribosomal RNA, internal transcribed spacer 1, and 5.8S ribosomal RNA". The record is from RNAcentral.